This 168-nucleotide ribosomal RNA is filed under the name uncultured rumen bacterium. RNAcentral describes it as "partial 16S ribosomal RNA". It matches the Rfam family "Bacterial small subunit ribosomal RNA", at positions 340 to 524 of the family's 1533-position model. The record is from RNAcentral.
UACGGGAGGCAGCAGUGGGGGAUAUUGCGCAAUGGGGGCAACCCUGACGCAGCAACGCCGCGUGAAGGACGAAGGUCUUCGGAUUGUAAACUUCUUUUGUCAGGGACGAAAAAUGACGGUACCUGACGAAUAAGCUCCGGCUAACUACGUGCCAGCAGCCGCGGUAAU